RNAcentral lists this ribosomal RNA (253 nucleotides) under uncultured bacterium. Its description in RNAcentral is "partial 16S ribosomal RNA". It matches the Rfam family "Bacterial small subunit ribosomal RNA", at positions 524 to 776 of the family's 1533-position model. The record is from RNAcentral.
UACGAAGGGUGCAAGCGUUACUCGGAAUUACUGGGCGUAAAGCGUGCGUAGGUGGUUCGUUAAGUCUGUCGUGAAAGCCCCGGGCUCAACCUGGGAAUGGCGAUGGAUACUGGCGGGCUAGAGUGCGGUAGAGGGUGGUGGAAUUCCCGGUGUAGCAGUGAAGUGCGUAGAGAUCGGGAGGAACAUCAGUUGCGAAGGCGGCCACCUGGACCAGCACUGACACUGAGGCACGAAAGCGUGGGGAGCAAACAGG